GAGACACAGAGGCCCAAGUCCCCAGAAAUGUCCCUGCUGAGAUGCAGGCAGCAGACCCUGCCAUCACUCUGCCUCUCUGUGCUGUUCCUGGCCUGCUUUGUAGCAUCCAUGCCUACAGAAAGCUUGACCCCCACUCCUGGCCCUGAGAACAGCCGCUGGAGCCUGGUAAGAGCCAGGGUGAUGGAGAUGGUGGAACCACUGGUGACCAGAACCAGGGACAGAUGGCGGUGGUUCUGGUGAGAGAGUUCUUGUGCUCAGCUGGGAGGGGACACCAGAGUUAGAGAGGAGAGAAAGCCUGUGACUAGACCCUGAGUCUGAGGGAAGAAGGCUGGGACCUGGACCCCUGGGUCUGAGGGAGGAGGGCUGGGGAUCUGGACUCCUGGGUCUGAGGGAGGAGGGCUGGGGGACUCUUGGGUCUGAGGGAGGAGGGCUGGGGAUCUGGACUCCUGGAUCUGAGGGAGGAGGGGAUCUGGAUGCCUGGGUCUGAGGGAGGAGGUCUGGGGAUCUGGACUCCUGGGUCUGAGGGGAUCUGGACUUCUGGGUCUGAGGGAGGAGGGCUGGGGAUCUGGACUCCUGGGUCUGAGGGAGGAGAGAUGGGAGUCUGGACUCCUGGGUCUGAGAGAGAAGGGCUGGGGAUCUGGACUCCUGGGUCUGAGGGAGGAAAGAUGGGAGUCUGGACUCCUGGGUCUGAGGGAAGAGUACAAAGACUCUGGAGUAUUGAGUCUGAAAAAGGUCAGAAGUAAACGGGCAAUACAGCUGGAGUAUCUGGUUUGUCAUCUGAGAUGUGCCCUUUACACAGGGGCCCCAGAGCUAUCCAGGGCUUCGUGCAGACCUACUAUGAAGAUCACCUGAAAGACCUGGGUCCCCGAACUCAGGCCUGGCUGCAGAGCUCCAGAGACCACCUCCUAAACAAGACCCACAGCCUGUGUCCCAGACUGCUCUGCAGGGACUGGACUCAGGGUUAAAGUGCCACCACGUACCUCCCUCCCCUGGAACCCACAAUAAAGGUGUUUGUUCUUG
RNAcentral lists this long non-coding RNA (1020 nucleotides) under Rattus norvegicus (Norway rat). Its description in RNAcentral is "long non-coding RNA NONRATT002367". The record is from RNAcentral. Lineage: Eukaryota; Metazoa; Chordata; Mammalia; Rodentia; Muridae.